This 75-nucleotide transfer RNA is filed under the name Candidatus Caldarchaeum sp. RNAcentral describes it as "tRNA-Ile". It matches the Rfam family "tRNA". Rfam says of the family: Transfer RNA (tRNA) molecules are approximately 80 nucleotides in length. Their secondary structure includes four short double-helical elements and three loops (D, anti-codon, and T loops). Further hydrogen bonds mediate the characteristic L-shaped molecular structure. tRNAs have two regions of fundamental functional importance: the anti-codon, which is responsible for specific mRNA codon recognition, and the 3' end, to which the tRNAs corresponding amino acid is attached (by aminoacyl-tRNA synthetases). tRNAs cope with the degeneracy of the genetic code in two manners: having more than one tRNA (with a specific anti-codon) for a particular amino acid; and 'wobble' base-pairing, i.e. permitting non-standard base-pairing at the 3rd anti-codon position. Lineage: Archaea; Thermoproteati; Nitrososphaerota; Candidatus Caldarchaeales; Candidatus Caldarchaeaceae. The record is from RNAcentral.
GGGCCCGUAGCUCAGCCAGGUUAGAGCGCCAGGCUCAUAACCUGGUGGUCGUGGGUUCGAAUCCCACCGGGCCCA